ACUGGCGGACGGGUGAGUAACACGUGAGGAACCUGCCCCAAAGACAGGGAUAAGCGAGGGAAACUUCGUCUAAUACCUGAUGCCUUCAUCGCAACUCAUGUUGUGUUGAAGAAAUGAUUUAUCGCUUUGGGAGGGCCUCGCGGCCUAUCAGCUUGUUGGUGGGGUAACGGCCUACCAAGGCGUCGACGGGUAGCUGGUCUGAGAGGAUGAUCAGCCACACUGGGACUGAGAUACGGCCCAGACUCCUACGGGAGGCAGCAGUUAGGAAUCUUGCGCAAUGGGCGCAAGCCUGAUCCAGCAAUGCCGCGUGAGUGAAGAAGGCCUUCGGGUUGUAAAGCUCUUUUGUCAGGGAAGAAACGGGAGUGGCUAAUAUCCAUUCCUAAUGACGGUACCUGAAGAAUAAGCACCGGCUAACUACGUGCCAGCAGCCGCGGUAAUACG
RNAcentral lists this ribosomal RNA (441 nucleotides) under Escherichia coli. RNAcentral describes it as "bacterial SSU rRNA". It matches the Rfam family "Bacterial small subunit ribosomal RNA", at positions 94 to 527 of the family's 1533-position model. Lineage: Bacteria; Pseudomonadati; Pseudomonadota; Gammaproteobacteria; Enterobacterales; Enterobacteriaceae. The record is from RNAcentral.